AUGGCAGAAGGGAGGACACAUAGGAAGAAAAAACCAGAAAAUGGAGAAGUAGAAAAGUGGAGGCCGCUUCUUGGUUAUAUCAGUGUGGAGAGUCUUUUUCAGACGGUCAGCAUCAAUAAAGCUAUUAAUACCCAGGAAGUGGCCGUGAAGGAAAAACAUGCCAGGAAUAUCCUUUUGGACAUUGCCCAGAUGGAGGGAAUCCUGCAGGGGGUCCACAUGUGGGAAGUGGUAGUAGGGGUGGGGGCCUUCUGUCUGGAGAUCCCCUAUCUGGCUUGGGGGGCUGUGAGGCGGGACUGGGGCCUUCUGCCUGGAGAUCCCCUGCCCAGUUUGGAGGGCUAGGUGAUGGGAUAGGGGCCUUCUGCCUGGAGAUCCCCUUCCUGGCUUGGGGGGCUGAGGUGGGGGAGGGGCCUUCCUGUGAUUGGAUCUAGUCUCUGCAAGGCUUGAAGUGCCUCAGUGCUUGGGGCCUGAAUAGAUUCUUGGCUUCAGGAGGAGAGAAGGCUAAAUCUAGAAAGGAGCCUUAGAGGUUCCAGGGUGACUCCCCUGCCCAAGUUUACAUAUGAUCCUGGGUAUCCCCCCCAGCGUUUGCCUUCCCACCCUGUCCCUGCCUCUGGAGAGAUUUUAAAGAACUUUCCAUGGGGUUUUUUAGGGUCCAGAAGAAAUGCUCAGCUACAUUUUCAAGGCCCUGGGCCCGAGGGCGAGCUCUCCUACCCUGCCUUUGUCUUAGGUUUGACCAUGCUGGCCACACACUUGGCACAGCCAGGAGCUUAUGGCUGUCUUGAAGGCCUCUGCCUUGUAGGAUUAGGAGGCUGAGUCCAAUGGAUGCUUCAGGUUAAGAAUGGGUGACCUCCAGUCCUUCAGAACUGCAAGGUGGGGCUCGGUUGAGGAGCCAGGUCUGCUUACGGGGGCCUUUAAGAAGCAAGCAACCCCAGAAAGGGGGAUGGAAAACCCCCCACAGGAGCCAGCAAGCCAGGGCUGAGGAGGGGCAUGUAGAGACCCCAUCAAGUUGGCAGAGGUCCAGGGAGUGCCCACCAGCAUCCAUGUGGCAAGGUAGACAGCAUCCCUGGCAGACAGAAGUCUCGGGCGCAUGUGGACAAGGUAGAACGCAGGAAAGCCGGCACCAGAAGCCCUGAAAAAACAAAAGGAGGUUGCCUGAGAGGCUGAAACACUUAGUCAGGGCCAGGUCCAACACAGAAGGGUCCAGAAGGGGAGAACAGAACAGAACUGGGGAGACAGGGAAGAGUAAGGCUGGGACUGAGGCAAUUCUCAGCAGUCUACAACAUCCUUCUUGCUAUUCUGAGGACACCCAGGCCCCACCAGGAGAGAAGGCAUCUGAAAGGCCCUAGUCCCUGCAUCAGACCUUCCUGAAUUGUGAUGAGUGAGAAAAAGCCUCCUGACUUAGCCAGGAAAAAUGAAAUCACAGCAUCUCUGAGCUGGGAGGAACAGCCAAAGCUUUCUAGUGCAACCUGUACCAGAAUAGGACACCCCCCAACCAGGUGUUAUUCAGCUUCCACUGGAGACCUUCAGCCAUCCAACUGGUUCAUCCACUCUGGGACAACUUUGAUUGUUAGAAAUGUUUUCUCUACGAUGAUCCUAAAGCCAUCUCUCUGUAACCCAUUGGUAGCACUUCUGUCCUCUCAGGCCAAGCAGAGCAAAUUUAAUUCAUCAUCCCCGUGACUUUCAAAUAUUCAAAUGGACCUUAAACCUCAUUGAUGUGGGCAUUCUCUCCAAGAUGAAGAUGUCAACCCAUCCAUGCCUGUCCAUCCCAUGCAACUUGGUCAUGUCUUCCCAUCAUUUCAUCAUGGCGGUGAGAGAUCUACCCAAUAUGGUGGAGGCCUUCCUCUCAUUCUAUACUGGUCUAUCACAUGGGCCACCCAUCAGUUAUUCCUUAUUUAUGCACCAUGAGCAAGUUCUUCAUUCUCUUGUGCCAGAACAGUCCUCUGCUUUCCCUUCUACCUCUUCCCUUGUGUUUUCUUGCCAACAAAGGGCUUUUCCUCACCUGGACCAAGCCACGAAGAUCCCUGUUCCCAGGCCCAUUGUCACAUACACCACUUCAUAAUAAUAACUAGCAUUUACAAAGCCCUUUCAGGUUUGCAAAGCACUUUAUAGAUAUAAUCUCAUUUGAUCUUCACAAUAACCCUGGGGGGAGGGCAGUAGGUGGUGCACCCCCUCCCACCCAUACCCCUCUCCAUUGACCUCUGGGUAAUGAUCAUUUUCAAUUCUUUAGUCACUCUAGUGUCCUACCACUCACAGCCAUCUAAUGCCUACAGGGCAAUGAAAUGUUAACGAAAAGAUGGACCUUUGUUUUAGAGAAAAGACCAGGCUUCUUAAAAAUCGUUUAAAAGACUUCGAAGUUACCCAAAGACAGUCUAAUUCAUUCUCCUCCCACUGAGUUCUGGGCCUCAGUAAGUGUCUGUUUGUGGAGUCUGUUCCAAGAGAUAGUUAGACGACAGAUAGAUAGAUAUAGGUAGACAGACAGACAGACAGACGGACAGGACGACGGACGGACGGACGGACGGACGGACGGACGGACAGACAGACAGACAGACAGAUAGAUAGAUAGAUGGAUAGAUAGAUAGAUAGAUAUAGAUAGAUAGAUAGAUAGAUGGGUGGUGGAUGGAUGGAUAGAUGAGAUAGAUGAAUAGAUAAAUGAGAUAGAUGAAGAGAUGAUAGAGAUAGAUGAAGGAUAGAUGAGAUAGAUGAAAUAGAUAAGAUAAAGGAAUAGAUGAGAUAGACAAUAGAGAAAGAUGAUAAAUGGAUGGAUAGGUAAUACUGAUAGAGAAAUUCUGUAGCAGGAGUCCUUAUCUUUUUUUUGGUGUUGUGGACAGCUUUGGCAGUCUUUUGAAGCCUAUGGACCCCUUCUCAGAAUAGUUUUGUUUUGUUUUGUUUUGUUUUUAGAUGAAGCCAAUAUUUUAUUAAGGUUUCAGUAAACUUACUUAAUGGAAACAUGUAAAUGAAAAAAAAUUUACACUGACCUCAUGACCACCAUCCUAAGCCAUUACAUAGUUUACUAACAAUAAUUGGCAAGAGAGCAACUCAGUAAAAUAACUUAAUCCAGCAGUAUAAUGAAAACACGGUCAGUGGUACUGAAUAUCUCUCUAUAAUUUCACACAAUCAGGGAGCAAGUCACAUUAUGAAAUAAGAGCAUACAGCUAUGCAAAAGACAAGUCAAAAAAGAUAUUGAGCUUCACUACAUCCUUAUUGAAUUGUGCAUAUUCUUUUGUAUAUUGGGUACUUUUAUAAUGCAGUUUCUUUUGUCCUCUCUCCCAUGCCUGAAAAAGUCUAUUUAUACAUACAUAUACAUUUAUAUAUGGCAAAGCUCUCCCAAAUUGUAGAAGUUAGAGUUUCUAAGAGCCUCCUCCUCCUCCCCCUGAAUAGGGGUUAAGGGUUUGGGGUGAGGGAGGAGUACGAAAUGGGAAAGGCAAUCCCACUUAAAGAUAACAGGUGCAAUUUCUUUAAAGAGUGGUAGACAUGAAUGUAUUUACUUCUAGUACACGCUUUGCACAGACUAAUGACUUUUAGUGUGCAUCUCUGUACAGAAUUCCAUUAAUGGCUGUUAACAAAAGGAAGCUGCAAAACCAUGGGAAAUACAGAAUAGUUUUUAAAUACAUAAAAUAAAAUAAAAUACAUGGGAUUACA
Long non-coding RNA from Phascolarctos cinereus (koala), 3636 nucleotides. Lineage: Eukaryota; Metazoa; Chordata; Mammalia; Diprotodontia; Phascolarctidae. The record is from Ensembl.